This 579-nucleotide ribosomal RNA is filed under the name uncultured beta proteobacterium. RNAcentral's name for it is "bacterial SSU rRNA". It matches the Rfam family "Bacterial small subunit ribosomal RNA", at positions 97 to 670 of the family's 1533-position model. Lineage: Bacteria; Pseudomonadati; Pseudomonadota; Betaproteobacteria. The record is from RNAcentral.
GGCGCACGGGUGAGUAAUGCAUCGGAACGUGUCCUGGAGUGGGGGAUAACCCAGCGAAAGCUGGGCUAAUACCGCAUAUUGAGGGGACUCGAAAGCGGGGGACCGGUAACGGCCUCGCGCCCGAGGAGCGGCCGAUGCCCGAUUAGCUUGUUGGCGGGGUAAGAGCCCACCAAGGCGACGAUCGGUAGCUGGUCUGAGAGGAUGAUCAGCCACACUGGGACUGAGACACGGCCCAGACUCCUACGGGAGGCAGCAGUGGGGAAUUUUGGACAAUGGGGGCAACCCUGAUCCAGCCAUGCCGCGUGAGUGAAGAAGGCCUUCGGGUUGUAAAGCUCUUUCGGUGGAGAAAAAGCGACUCGGGCUAAUACCCUGGGAAGCGGAUGGUAUCCACAUAAGAAGCACCGGCUAACUACGUGCCAGCAGCCGCGGUAAUACGUAGGGUGCGAGCGUUAAUCGGAAUUACUGGGCGUAAAGCGUGCGUAGGCGGCCAUUUAAGUCUGCUGUGAAAGCCCCGGGCUUAACCUGGGAACUGCGGUGGAAACUGGAUGGCUGGAGUGUGGCAGAGGGGGGUGGAAUUCC